RNAcentral lists this ribosomal RNA (253 nucleotides) under uncultured bacterium. Its description in RNAcentral is "partial 16S ribosomal RNA". It matches the Rfam family "Bacterial small subunit ribosomal RNA", at positions 524 to 776 of the family's 1533-position model. The record is from RNAcentral.
UACGUAGGGUGCAAGCGUUGUCCGGAAUUAUUGGGCGUAAAGAGCUCGUAGGCGGUUUGUCGCGUCUGCUGUGAAAACCUAAGGCUCAACCUUGGGCUUGCAGUGGGUACGGGCAGACUAGAGUGCGGUAGGGGUGACUGGAAUUCCUGGUGUAGCGGUGGAAUGCGCAGAUAUCAGGAGGAACACCGAUGGCGAAGGCAGGUCACUGGGCCGCAACUGACGCUGAGGCGCGAAAGCCAGGGGAGCAAACGGG